Molecule: ribosomal RNA, 497 nt
Filed under: uncultured bacterium
Lineage: Bacteria
Description: partial 16S ribosomal RNA
Rfam family: Bacterial small subunit ribosomal RNA
Source: RNAcentral
GAUGAACGCUGGCGGCGUGCCUAAUACAUGCAAGUCGAGCGAACGGACGAGAAGCUUGCCUCUCUGAUGUUAGCGGCGGACGGGUGAGUAACACGUGGAUAACCUACCUAUAAGACUGGGAUAACUUCGGGAAACCGGAGCUAAUACCGGAUGAUAUUUUGAACCGCAUGGUUCAAAAGUGAAAGACGGUCUUGAUGUCACUUAUAGAUGGAUCCGCGCUGCAUUAGCUAGUUGGUAAGGUAACGGCUUACCAAGGCAACGAUGCAUAGCCGACCUGAGAGGGUGACCGGCCACACUGGAACUGAGACACGGUCCAGACUCCUACGGGAGGCAGCAGUAGGGAAUCUUCCGCAAUGGGCGAAAGCCUGACGGAGCAACGCCGCGUGAGUGAUGAAGGUCUUCGGAUCGUAAAGCUCUGUUAUUAGGGAAGAACAGAUGUGUAAGUAACUGUGCACAUCUUGACGGUACCUAAACAGAAAGCCACGGCUAACUUCGUG